Molecule: ribosomal RNA, 1346 nt
Filed under: uncultured bacterium
Lineage: Bacteria
Description: bacterial SSU rRNA
Rfam family: Bacterial small subunit ribosomal RNA
Source: RNAcentral
GACGAACGCUGGCGGCGUGCUUAACACAUGCAAGUCGAACGGAAAGGCCCUGCUUUUGUGGGGUGCUCGAGUGGCGAACGGGUGAGUAACACGUGAGUAACCUGCCCUUGACUUUGGGAUAACUUCAGGAAACUGGGGCUAAUACCGGAUAGGAGCUCCUGCUGCAUGGUGGGGGUUGGAAAGUUUCGGCGGUUGGGGAUGGACUCGCGGCUUAUCAGCUUGUUGGUGGGGUAGUGGCUUACCAAGGCUUUGACGGGUAGCCGGCCUGAGAGGGUGACCGGCCACAUUGGGACUGAGAUACGGCCCAGACUCCUACGGGAGGCAGCAGUGGGGAAUAUUGCACAAUGGGCGGAAGCCUGAUGCAGCAACGCCGCGUGCGGGAUGACGGCCUUCGGGUUGUAAACCGCUUUCGCCUGUGACGAAGCGUGAGUGACGGUAAUGGGUAAAGAAGCACCGGCUAACUACGUGCCAGCAGCCGCGGUGAUACGUAGGGUGCGAGCGUUGUCCGGAUUUAUUGGGCGUAAAGGGCUCGUAGGUGGUUGAUCGCGUCGGAAGUGUAAUCUUGGGGCUUAACCCUGAGCGUGCUUUCGAUACGGGUUGACUUGAGGAAGGUAGGGGAGAAUGGAAUUCCUGGUGGAGCGGUGGAAUGCGCAGAUAUCAGGAGGAACACCAGUGGCGAAGGCGGUUCUCUGGGCCUUUCCUGACGCUGAGGAGCGAAAGCGUGGGGAGCGAACAGGCUUAGAUACCCUGGUAGUCCACGCUGUAAACGGUGGGUACUAGGUGUGGGGUCCAUUCCACGGGUUCCGUGCCGUAGCUAACGCUUUAAGUACCCCGCCUGGGGAGUACGGCCGCAAGGCUAAAACUCAAAGGAAUUGACGGGGCCCCGCACAAGCGGCGGAGCAUGCGGAUUAAUUCGAUGCAACGCGUAGAACCUUACCUGGGUUUGACAUGGAUCGGGAGUGCUCAGAGAUGGGUGUGCCUCUUUUGGGGUCGGUUCACAGGUGGUGCAUGCCUGUCGUCAGCUCGUGUCGUGAGAUGUUGGGUUAAGUCCCGCAACGAGCGCAACCCUUGUUCACUGUUGCCAGCACGUUAUGGUGGGGACUCAGUGGAGACCGCCGGGGUCAACUCGGAGGAAGGUGGGGAUGACGUCAAGUCCUCAUGCCCCUUAUGUCCAGGGCUUCACGCAUGCUACAAUGGCUGGUACAGAGAGUGGCGAGCCUGUGAGGGUGAGCGAAUCUCGGAAAGCCGGUCUCAGUUCGGAUUGGGGUCUGCAACUCGACCUCAUGAAGUCGGAGUCGCUAGUGAUCGCAGAUCAGCAACGCUGCGGUGAAUACGUUCCCGGGGCU